Molecule: transfer RNA, 87 nt
Filed under: Planctomycetota bacterium
Lineage: Bacteria; Pseudomonadati; Planctomycetota
Description: tRNA-Leu
Rfam family: tRNA
About the family: Transfer RNA (tRNA) molecules are approximately 80 nucleotides in length.
Source: RNAcentral
GCUUGGGUGGCGGAAUUGGCAGACGCGCUCGUUUCAGGUGCGAGUGGCUUAACGGCCUUGUGGGUUCAAGUCCCACCCCAAGCACCA